Molecule: ribosomal RNA, 385 nt
Filed under: uncultured bacterium
Lineage: Bacteria
Description: bacterial SSU rRNA
Rfam family: Bacterial small subunit ribosomal RNA
Source: RNAcentral
AUUGAACGCUGGCGGCAUGCCUUACACAUGCAAGUCGAACGGCAGCACGGGAGCAAUCCUGGUGGCGAGUGGCGAACGGGUGAGUAAUAUAUCGGAACGUGCCCAGUCGUGGGGAUAACGUAGCGAAAGCUACGCUAAUACCGCAUACGAUCUAUGGAUGAAAGCGGGGGAUCGCAAGACCUCGCGCGAUUGGAGCGGCCGAUAUCAGAUUAGGUAGUUGGUGAGGUAAAGGCUCACCAAGCCGACGAUCUGUAGCUGGUCUGAGAGGACGACCAGCCACACUGGGACUGAGACACGGCCCAGACUCCUACGGGAGGCAGCAGUGGGGAAUUUUGGACAAUGGGCGCAAGCCUGAUCCAGCAAUGCCGCGUGAGUGAUGAAGGCC